AUACGUAGGGGGCGAGCGUUGUCCGGAAUGAUUGGGCGUAAAGGGCGCGUAGGCGGCCCGGUAAGUCUGGAGUGAAAGUCCUGUUUUUAAGAUGGGAAUUGCUUUGGAUACUGUCGGGCUUGAGUGCAGGAGAGGUAAGUGGAAUUCCCAGUGUAGCGGUGAAAUGCGUAGAGAUUGGGAGGAACACCAGUGGCGAAGGCGACUUACUGGACUGUAACUGACGCUGAGGCGCGAAAGUGUGGGGAGCAAACAGGAUUAGAUACCCUGGUAGUCCACACUGUAAACGAUGAAUACUAGGUGUAGGGGGUAUCGACUCCCUCUGUGCCGCAGUUAACACAAUAAGUAUUCCGCCUGGGGAGUACGGCCGCAAGGUUGAAACUCAAAUGAAUUGGCGGGG
RNAcentral lists this ribosomal RNA (397 nucleotides) under uncultured bacterium. RNAcentral's name for it is "partial 16S ribosomal RNA". It matches the Rfam family "Bacterial small subunit ribosomal RNA", at positions 523 to 918 of the family's 1533-position model. The record is from RNAcentral.